GUUUGACUGGAAAGACAGACUGUGGAGACGUGUUUGAGACGACACACAGGCUGCAUCCGAAAUUCGUGUGUGUAACCUCUUCUCCAUCUGCCACACACAUCUCUACCUAGCACAGGCUGCUCUUCAUCUGCGUCUGAUGAUGACGACCAUGCGCCAUCAAGCCGAGGAUCAACCUCAGGCCAUGUUGUGUCAUCGGCGGCUGACUUGUCUUGACUGGUCAUUACAAACCAAGUUCAUUCUAUACAGCAAGAGGAGAAAGCAAAUUGUCAUCAUAACAGCGAAGCCUCCAUAACACAAGUAAGCUAUGUCAUCCGUCAUGGAAAAGUUGGAUAAACUGAAAAAAUGUGGUGACGGUGAAAUUCAGAAAAUGAGCAACAUACCCAAAAACGAAAAGUUCGAAG
This is a long non-coding RNA of Ornithodoros turicata, 401 nucleotides long. RefSeq lists it as uncharacterized. The record is from RefSeq and is a predicted model, not a curated record. The transcript has 3 exons. NCBI's taxonomy places the organism in Eukaryota, Metazoa, Arthropoda, Arachnida, Ixodida, Argasidae.